Molecule: ribosomal RNA, 571 nt
Filed under: uncultured bacterium
Lineage: Bacteria
Description: bacterial SSU rRNA
Rfam family: Bacterial small subunit ribosomal RNA
Source: RNAcentral
AGAUCUAGCUUGCUAGAUGCUGACGAGCGGCGGACGGGUGAGUAAUGCAUAGGAAUCUGCCCGGUAGUGGGGGAUAACCUGGGGAAACCCAGGCUAAUACCGCUACGUCCUACGGGAGAAAGGGGGCUUCGGCUCCCGCUAUUGGAUGAGCCUAUGUCGGAUUAGCUAGUUGGUGAGGUAAUGGCUCACCAAGGCAACGAUCCGUAGCUGGUCUGAGAGGAUGAUCAGCCACAUCGGGACUGAGACACGGCCCGAACUCCUACGGGAGGCAGCAGUGGGGAAUAUUGGACAAUGGGGGCAACCCUGAUCCAGCCAUGCCGCGUGUGUGAAGAAGGCCCUCGGGUUGUAAAGCACUUUCAGCGAGGAAGAACGCCUGUCGGUUAAUACCCGGUAGGAAAGACAUCACUCGCAGAAGAAGCACCGGCUAACUCCGUGCCAGCAGCCGCGGUAAUACGGAGGGUGCAAGCGUUAAUCGGAAUUACUGGGCGUAAAGCGCGCGUAGGUGGCUUGAUAAGCCGGUUGUGAAAGCCCCGGGCUCAACCUGGGAACGGCAUCCGGAACUGUCAGGCUA